AGCUACAUCCGUCACCUGACACGGCCCUACCAGGAACAGCCGCGCUCCCGCGGAUUCUGGUGCUGCUCGCGUCCCCGCUCCCCUAUUCCCCUUAUUUUAUUCCUGGCUCCCCUCGUCGAAAGUCUUCCAUUCUUCAAACUAGAUUAUUUAAAAAUGAAAAAGGAAGAAAGGAAAGCGAGGUCAUCUCAUUGCUCUAUCCGCCAAUCAGGAGGCUGAAUGUCAGUUUUGAACUAAAAGCCGCUCCGCUCCUCUUCUAGAUUUGGAAAACAAGCGAAAUUAAACUAAACCGCUGCACGCCUCUGACGCGACAUCUGGACACGGCGCGGCGCUGGCGCUGCCGGAGCUGUCGACCCGGCCUGGCGCCGGACUAGUGUCCCUUUUGAUGAGAAGAAUAAGCCUCAUUCUGAUUCAACAGCAGAGAUCAAAGAAAAGACUUCUGUUUUCUGGCCACCAGAUAUAUGUUAUCUGUGCUUAAAGAAUUGAAAAACACACAUCAAAGGAGAAUUUUCUUGGAAAGAGAGGGUUCAAGCAUCACUGUUAGGUGUGCUGGAAUCCUUUCCCGAGUCAGUACUGCUUUCUAGAAGAAAACCGGGGAGAUCUAUUUGGAAUGUAUCUAACUCCAAAGAAACCAUCAGAGGUAACAGAUUGGCUUCUCUCACAUGGCAAGAAACAUUGCUGCUAGCACUUCCCGAGUUCUACGUUCUACAACAUCCACCACUGCUAUGUCUCACAGUCCAGACUUGGAGUACAAGUAAUAAGAAGAAUAAAACUUAAUCCCUUAAGUAGAUUCACCAUAAGUUAGCUCAGAGCAAUUCCAGUGCAAGUAUGGUCUGUGAUCCAGUAGUAUCUUACAGACAGCAAGUUGAACAUUGUGGGAUGCAUGAGCUAUUGAGGCCUUUGCAGCUUUCUGCUACAUGGAGGCUAGGGCCAGAGUCAAGAUUUAUGCUUUGCAGCACACUGGUCAGCUGUUUUUGCAAAUCAGAUUAAAUGAUUUUUAAAUGAGGCUGAGAGCAUGGGAGAUACUAAUGUGUGUUUCCUUGUGAGCUACUGCAUAAGUUAGGAAAUUGAAAUACAGAAAGAUGAAAAGUGAUUUGCCCAAGCAUAUAGAUCAAAGCUGUGGCAGAACCAGGACUGGAACCUAUAUCUCUCUACUAAUGGUUUUUUUAAAAAAAUAACCUUGUUUCAAAAAUAUUAAAAAGUCACAAGAAAGGUAAACAUGUGGAUAAACAAAAUGAAGAAAAUAAAAAUUAUCCAGUAAUAACAUAUUGGCAUAUGUCUUUCUGGUAUAUUUUCCUGUGUUGUCAUCAUUAUCAUCUCCAUCAUCAUUAUAUCCAUCAUUAUCAUCAUCAUCAUCAUCAUCAUCAUCAUUAUCAUCACCAUAGUGAACAUGUAAUGCUUACCUAGUGCCAGAUGCUGUCUAGGCAUUUUACAUGUGUUACUGGUAACUCAUGUAAUCCUCAUAACAACCUUAUAAGGUGGUUGCUAUUAUCCCCAUGUUACAUAUGAAGAGACAGAAGCAUAAAGAAGUUGCACCGCUGGUAAUUGGCUGGGAUUUGAACUUAAGCAGUCUAACCUUAGAGUAAUGAUUUUAACAACUAUGCUAUAUACAUACAAAUUUACAAAAUAAAACUGGGCUCAGACAAUAAAAA
This 1649-nucleotide long non-coding RNA is filed under the name Homo sapiens (human). Its description in RNAcentral is "non-protein coding CDKN2B-AS1:68". The stretch from base 379 to 522 matches the Rfam family "CDKN2B antisense RNA 1 convserved region 3". Lineage: Eukaryota; Metazoa; Chordata; Mammalia; Primates; Hominidae. The record is from RNAcentral.